AUACGGAGGAUGCAAGCGUUAUCCGGAUUUAUUGGGUUUAAAGGGUGCGUAGGCUGACGUGUAAGUCAGAGGUGAAAUCUCCGGGCUCAACCUGGGAACUGCCUUUGAUACUGCAUGUCUGGAGUUCGGAUGCCGUGGGAGGAAUGGGCAGUGUAGCGGUGAAAUGCAUAGAUAUUGCCCAGAACACCGAUUGCGAAGGCAUCUCACGAAUCCGACACUGACGCUGAGGCACGAAAGCGUGGGGAUCAAACAGGAUUAGAUACCCUGGUAGUCCACGCAGUAAACGAUGAUAACUAACCGUCGGCGAUAGACAGUCGGUGGCCAAGCGAAAGCGAUAAGUUAUCCACCUGGGGAGUACGUUCGCAAGAAUGAAACUCAAAGGAAUUGACGG
Molecule: ribosomal RNA, 391 nt
Filed under: uncultured bacterium
Lineage: Bacteria
Description: partial 16S ribosomal RNA
Rfam family: Bacterial small subunit ribosomal RNA
Source: RNAcentral